RNAcentral lists this ribosomal RNA (19 nucleotides) under Echinodorus cordifolius (Texas mudbaby). Its description in RNAcentral is "partial 18S ribosomal RNA". Lineage: Eukaryota; Viridiplantae; Streptophyta; Magnoliopsida; Alismatales; Alismataceae. The record is from RNAcentral.
GCGGAAGGAUCAUUGUCGG